GUAGCAGUGAAAUGCGUAGAGAUGUGGAGGAACACCGAUGGCGAAGGCAGNNNNCUGGGAUGACACUGACNNNCAUGCUCGAAAGCGUGGGGAGCAAACAGGAUUAGAUACCCUGGUAGUCCACGCCCUAAACGAUGUCUACUAGUUGUCGGGCCUUAAUUGGCUUGGUAACGCAGCUAACGCGUGAAGUAGACCGCCUGGGGAGUACGGUCGCAAGAUUAAAACUCAAAGGAAUUGACGGGGACCCGCACAAGCGGUGGAUGAUGUGGAUUAAUUCGAUGCAACGCGAAAAACCUUACCUACCCUUGACAUGCCAGGAACCCCGCUGAAAGGUGGGGGUGCUCGAAAGAGAGCCUGGGCACAGGUGCUGCAUGGCUGUCGUCAGCUCGUGUCGUGAGACGUUGGGUUAAGUCCCGCAACGAGCGCAACCCUUAUCAUUAGUUGCUACGCAAGGGCACUCUAAUGAGACUGCCGGUGACAAACCGGAGGAAGGUGGGGAUGACGUCAAGUCCUCAUGGCCCUUAUGGGUAGGGCUUCACACGUCAUACAAUGGUCGGUACAGAGGGCUGCCAACCCGCGAGGGGGAGCUAAUCCCAGAAAACCGAUCGUAGUCCGGAUUGCAGUCUGCAACUCGACUGCAUGAAGUCGGAAUCGCUAGUAAUCGCGGAUCAGCAUGUCGCGGUGAAUACGUUCCCGGGUCUUGUACACACCGCCCGUCACACCAUGGGAGUGGGUUUUACCAGAAGUAGUUAGCCUAACCGCAAGGAGGGCGAUUACCACGGUAGGGCUCAUGACUGGGGUGAAGUCGUAACAAGGUAACCAAGGGCGAA
RNAcentral lists this ribosomal RNA (830 nucleotides) under uncultured bacterium. Its description in RNAcentral is "bacterial SSU rRNA". It matches the Rfam family "Bacterial small subunit ribosomal RNA", at positions 675 to 1510 of the family's 1533-position model. The record is from RNAcentral.